This 373-nucleotide ribosomal RNA is filed under the name Agelastica alni. RNAcentral's name for it is "bacterial LSU rRNA". The record is from RNAcentral. Lineage: Eukaryota; Metazoa; Arthropoda; Insecta; Coleoptera; Chrysomelidae.
CCAGCUUUCCCCUUUAAGUAAGCGCAAAGCUAGCAAUCGCUAACUGCAAAAUCACUGCCAACCGCAAGCGCAGCAGACGCGUCAGACAAAUAGCUUGACUGCAGCUUGCGCACGUGAAAAGGGGAUCAUCCUGCAACGCUAGGCAACCCACAGCCAGAUUCCGGGCUCCACCUCGGGUGCACUGGCAAAGCCGCAUAACGCACCUGGGAGCCACAGGGCUAGCUGAGCGAGCUGCCAUAUUACUACCGCGCCCCGGCGAUGAAUCAAUCGCAAGCCGAGCACCGUUCGCGCAAGCCACAAACUGCCGCUAGCCUGGAUCGCGGCUAGGACAGGGGCCUGCUGACAACCGACGCUACAGGAGCUUGUCUGGAGC